Calidris pugnax (ruff) is the source of this 3268-nucleotide long non-coding RNA. RefSeq lists it as uncharacterized. The record is from RefSeq and is a predicted model, not a curated record. Lineage: Eukaryota; Metazoa; Chordata; Aves; Charadriiformes; Scolopacidae. The transcript is spliced from 3 exons.
CUCCACAGUGAUUUAUUUCUCUGAAGAGAUGCUUUAUCUUCCCAAGUCGUCUCCCAACAGCUACUCCCUGCCCUUGGGACUUCCACGGGAGCAAACAACCACUACGUCAGACUCUGGUGCUUAAACCCACCUGCUUGAACCCCUGUUCCUCGCAGACGGACCCAGCUGCUGCCAGCUGUUCCUGGAUGUGAAGGACGAGCAGCUUCACACAGCUGUGGAUUCCCCGCUGCUCUUGGAAUUGCCCAGCAGCCGGGGGAGGCAGCUGCCAGGACACAAGGACAGUGUUGUUUAGUAAAAGCUUCCUCGCUUGAAGUGUCCAUCCUCCCGCUGGAUGGAUGUCGGGCAAAACGUUUGGAGGAACUAAUUCCAGCCUCUGAUCCAGUGCAGCCUGAAGACUGGUACUCGGUGCCAUAAGCACUGCUCUGAGGAGAAACUAAACUCACUGUAAAAUUAAGCGUAUCGUUAAAUGCUCUCCUGAGACAGAAGCCUACAGCGUUGUUGCUGCUCGUGUUCCCGUUCAGUUCACAGCCAGGAAUUCCUCUGCCUGUUCUCAGAAAUCAAAUAAUUUGAUACCAUCUCAUCUGUAGAUCUUUAGCAAAUUUUUUGAGUCACACUCCCCCCAAACCAAACCAAAAAAAGGGUUCUGUAAGGCAGUGAUAGAGAGGAAUAAGGAAUGUGUUGUUCCCAGAAGCUGGUAUUGCAAAUAGCAUCUCCUCACUGCCUGCCCCCUUGGAUGGUGAUGGUCCAACAGACCCAUGGGCAGCCCCUGCAUCUUGGUCUGAGGUUGGGCUGGGUGUCCCUGUUGUGUGACCAAAGCCCGUCCUGCUGUGCUUGUCUGUUGGGGAAGAAGGUGACCUGCAAGACACCAGGGGUUAUCCUGCCCUGGGGAAAGAUUAUACUCCCUGUGACACAAACAAGGCUUAUUCCUACAGGAGAUACUCACAGUUACACCUAAUGCCCGCACGGAUUGAGACCACCAGCUUGUCACAGAGCUCUGCCCCGGGGAGGGAAGUGGUGACAGCAAAGGCAGCGGCCACCUGGGGAAGGGGGAAGGACAAUUCUGCACGGAACGCAGCUGAUCCCACGCAGCCACAUCCUCAGCGUGGUGGAAAUCCUGCCAGCUCAUCUCCACACCACGAGAAGAGGCAGGAUCACAGGACAGUCCACACCACAGGCUGUGACAGACCUAGUAAAUGUCCCAGGAGCAUAACUGUGGUGUGAAAGGGCAGGGGAGCUCUGCGAGGAGAGACGCUGAACGACAGGGAAGGCUGUUCCCACCUGACAUCACGGCCGUGAGCAACACAAACCUGAGUGAAAGCAGAACUUGGGUUCUUAUCAGAGCUGAUUUGCUCUUUCAGAUUCAGAGUCACGAAGUGGGGAAUGUACACUCCUGCUCUUAACUUCCAAGUUUCCCAACUAAAGGUUUUAGCUUCUGGGAAGAGCAAAAGAAAUCUCAUGAAUCACCUACCGCGCUCCAGUAUCACAGAGGGAAGUACAGAGACAGAAAGAGAAACCAGGAUCAGGGGAUCUGGAUGGUCUGACUGAGGAUGAACAAGCACAUUGGAGCGUGUCCCUGGAGCUGAUCUGAUCUCUCCAAAAACCUUUAUCUAGUCCCUUGCGCUUCACAGCCAAAAACACCCUUCAUUUCACAUGCCUGAGCCUCGGCAGCAGCACCCAGACCACCCAACGCACGUCCUCGCUGAGCUCAUGUUCUCGGAGCCAUAGAUGGGAAGUUGCCAUUCCCUGCGCUUCCAUAGAAAAAUGCUCAAGUCUCCCAGCCCUGCUCCUCUCUGUUACAGCUGGGUCCCAGCACAGCUGGAGUUCCCUGACGUUCAGAGCAGCUGGGAAAGCCCCAGCCCGAGCGUGGGAUGCUGCCGUCACCUGGUGGGUCGGGUGCCUGGUGCUCCUCCUGGGUGAUGGGUGACAAGGGACAGCACACAACCGGGUCCUUGACUCUGCCCCACAUCCCUAUGGCAACACAAGGUCUCUGAUUUCCACUGGUGCUUAGUCACGAUGGCACAGCAGGAGCCCUCUGCCUAAACAUUGUGUAAGAUGGAAAAUGCCAUUGUUUUUCAAAGGACUUCACCCCCUGGAAGCCACAGGAGGUUCAGACAGAAGCCAUGAUGUAUGAAGGGCUCCUGCAGCAAAGGAGGGCUUAAAAUAAGAGCAGGGUGAGUGAAAGCUGGUCCUGCAUCGCAGCAGGUCUGGGUCCAGCGUCCUCAGUGCUGCCAUACCAGGUGGGGGUGGUGGCAAUGGCUUUGUCCUGAGCAUCACAGCACCCCUUUCCCUACCUGUGUCGGGGUCCUCUCUGGCACCCCAGUCCAGGUACACCCAAACGGAGCAUGGCUUGGCUUGCCCUGCACACUUCAGCCAUCUCUCUGCUCCUGCUCUUGGACAUGGUUCCCUGGUCUCACCUCUGCUUCCCAGCACUCUCCACCUGCAGCGCUGGCACCGGAGGAGCUCGGUCCCAUCUUGGGGUCACUGCAGAAAUAACACCUGCGAUGGUGAGGGACGAGUCCCAGCAGGGACAGCCCGGGCGUGCAACACGGAGGAUGACAAUCAGAAGGAAAAAACCUAUGAUCGGAAGAAAUAAAGAUGCAUGCUUCAAAAGGAGAUAAAAUCGGUGCCUCUUUGGAACGGUGAUGGGCGAAUCCAAACACGUUGGGUGUCUGUUGGCAGUCCCCGAGUCCUCUCCCACAGUGUCUGGAGGGCUCAGCCCACCCUCAGCUGCUGAGUGACACGGGAGGGGGCGAAAAACAGCCUCCAGCAAAACCAACGUGUGGGGAAAUGCGCAGGCAGAAGAGUGAAAUUACCAGUCUCGUGACUGGGUGGUAGCCCCAGGGCCACGGGUGGCCAGAGUCUCUCUGGACAAGCAGGAUUAGGAGUUGGCACCGGUCACAUCCCCGCCGCACACCUGGAAAAACCCCUCCUGGGUUUCCUCUGAGAUCCUGACUCUCCUCGUUCGUGACGUCGAGGCGUAAUCCAGCUGCGUGUGACCUCACGAGGAAAACACCUCGCACCGACACCUUCAACAAAUGUUACUGGCUCACCCAACCCCGCUCACCCCCGCGGCGCUGGGCCGCCCUUCUCGGGGCGUUAAAAGCACAACGUGCCCAAACCGCUCUCGUGAAGGGCACGGCGGCUCCCGCUGACGGUGGUUUCAUGGGUUUAAGGACCUGUGGCCACCCUGAGUCACGGGCCACACCUGGCUGCGGCGAGAGAGAGGCGCAGGGUCAGCAGCCCUGCCUCAGCACUUUAAAUAAAUAAA